UGCUUUUCAGGAGCAAAUGUCCCCAAGGCGUUACGUGCGUAGGUCUGCUCCGGUACCGCCUUCUGCGGAGCCCGAGCAGCCAAGAUCGGAGGAAGCGCAGGAGCUGCGGGAGCAGGUCGCUGCAAUGUUGGGCGCGAUGCAGCGCCAGGAGGCUCGAUUCGAGCAGCUCCAGGGAUUUGUGGAGCGGCAAGCGGCAGCAGCGGC
This 204-nucleotide long non-coding RNA is filed under the name Ananas comosus (pineapple). RNAcentral describes it as "long non-coding RNA (ACOM_LNC039512)". Lineage: Eukaryota; Viridiplantae; Streptophyta; Magnoliopsida; Poales; Bromeliaceae. The record is from RNAcentral.